This 406-nucleotide ribosomal RNA is filed under the name uncultured bacterium. Its description in RNAcentral is "partial 16S ribosomal RNA". It matches the Rfam family "Bacterial small subunit ribosomal RNA", at positions 30 to 526 of the family's 1533-position model. The record is from RNAcentral.
AUUGAACGCUGGCGGCAGGCCUAACACAUGCAAGUCGAACGAGUGGCGGACGGGUGAGUAAUGUCUGGGAAACUGCCUGAUGGAGGGGGAUAACUCCUGGAAACGGUAGCUAAUACCGCAUACCAUCAGAUGUGCCCAGAUGGGUUUAGCUUGUUGGUGGGGUAACGGCUCACCAAGGCGACGAUCCCUCGCUGGUCUGAGAGGAGGACCAGCCACACUGGGACUGAGACACGGUCCAGACUCCUACGGGAGGCAGCAGGGGGGAAUUUUGCACAAUGGGCGCAAGCCUGAUGCAGCCAUGCCUCGUGUAUGAAGAAGGCCUUCGGGUUGUAAAGUACUUUCAGCGGGGAGGCGUUACCCGCAGAAGAAGCACCGGCUAACUCCGUGCCAGCAGCCGCGGUAAUUC